GACGAACGCUGGCGGCGUGCUUAACACAUGCAAGUCGAACGGAAAGGCCCUGCUUUUGUGGGGUGCUCGAGUGGCGAACGGGUGAGUAACACGUGAGUAACCUGCCCUUGACUUUGGGAUAACUUCUGGAAACUGGGGCUAAUACCGGAUAGGAGCUCCUGCUGCAUGGUGGGGGUUGGAAAGUUUCGGCGGUUGGGGAUGGACUCGCGGCUUAUCAGCUUGUUGGUGGGGUAGUGGCUUACCAAGGCUUUGACGGGUAGCCGGCCUGAGAGGGUGACCGGCCACAUUGGGACUGAGAUACGGCCCAGACUCCUACGGGAGGCAGCAGUGGGGAAUAUUGCACAAUGGGCGGAAGCCUGAUGCAGCAACGCCGCGUGCGGGAUGACGGCCUUCGGGUUGUAAACCGCUUUCGCCUGUGACGAAGCGUGAGUGACGGUAAUGGGUAAAGAAGCACCGGCUAACUACGUGCCAGCAGCCGCGGUGAUACGUAGGGUGCGAGCGUUGUCCGGAUUUAUUGGGCGUAAAGGGCUCGUAGGUGGUUGAUCGCGUCGGAAGUGUAAUCUUGGGGCUUAACCCUGAGCGUGCUUUCGAUACGGGUUGACUUGAGGAAGGUAGGGGAGAAUGGAAUUCCUGGUGGAGCGGUGGAAUGCGCAGAUAUCAGGAGGAACACCAGUGGCGAAGGCGGUUCUCUGGGCCUUUCCUGACGCUGAGGAGCGAAAGCGUGGGGAGCGAACAGGCUUAGAUACCCUGGUAGUCCACGCUGUAAACGGUGGGUACUAGGUGUGGGGUCCAUUCCACGGGUUCCGUGCCGUAGCUAACGCUUUAAGUACCCCGCCUGGGGAGUACGGCCGCAAGGCUAAAACUCAAAGGAAUUGACGGGGCCCCGCACAAGCGGCGGAGCAUGCGGAUUAAUUCGAUGCAACGCGUAGAACCUUACCUGGGUUUGACAUGGAUCGGGAGUGCUCAGAGAUGGGUGUGCCUCUUUUGGGGUCGGUUCACAGGUGGUGCAUGGCUGUUGUCAGCUCGUGUCGUGAGAUGUUGGGUUAAGUCCCGCAACGAGCGCAACCCUUGUUCACUGUUGCCAGCACGUUAUGGUGGGGACUCAGUGGAGACCGCCGGGGUCAACUCGGAGGAAGGUGGGGAUGACGUCAAGUCAUCAUGCCCCUUAUGUCCAGGGCUUCACGCAUGCUACAAUGGCUGGUACAGAGAGUGGCGAGCCUGUGAGGGUGAGCGAAUCUCGGAAAGCCGGUCUCAGUUCGGAUUGGGGUCUGCAACUCGACCUCAUGAAGUCGGAGUCGCUAGUAAUCGCAGAUCAGCAACGCUGCGGUGAAUACGUUCCCGGG
RNAcentral lists this ribosomal RNA (1343 nucleotides) under uncultured bacterium. Its description in RNAcentral is "16S ribosomal RNA". It matches the Rfam family "Bacterial small subunit ribosomal RNA", at positions 28 to 1378 of the family's 1533-position model. The record is from RNAcentral.